AUGUAUCAUGACAGCAAGAGUGAUAGGAGGAAGGAUAACCUGGAGAGUUCACUCACUAUUCACCAUUUGACUGAAGAAAAAAAUAAUCUAGAGGCCAACUAUGACAAAUUGGUUGAAGAUGUGCACCAACUGUUCAAUGCUCAAGAGGAUAGGAUGGUAUAUUUCAGCUAUUUGCAGGCUAAGAUGCAGAAUGUGCAUGUUUCUGAUUCAAUUGUAUCUGACAUGAAGACAGAGAUGGGGAAGAAAGAUGCAGAGAUCUUCAAGCUGCAGGAGAAGUAUAAAGUACUGAUGAACCUAACAAAAUCUCAAGGCACUUGCAUCCAGAACCUGAAGUUCAAUCAUCUAAAAUAG
RNAcentral lists this ribosomal RNA (351 nucleotides) under Triticum aestivum (bread wheat). RNAcentral describes it as "partial small subunit ribosomal RNA". The record is from RNAcentral. Lineage: Eukaryota; Viridiplantae; Streptophyta; Magnoliopsida; Poales; Poaceae.